This 468-nucleotide ribosomal RNA is filed under the name uncultured bacterium. RNAcentral's name for it is "partial 16S ribosomal RNA". It matches the Rfam family "Bacterial small subunit ribosomal RNA", at positions 28 to 507 of the family's 1533-position model. The record is from RNAcentral.
GACGAACGCUGGCGGCGUGCUUAACACAUGCAAGUCGAACGGAAAGGCCCUGCUUUUGUGGGGUGCUCGAGUGGCGAACGGGUGAGUAACCCGUGAGUAACCUGCCCUUGACUUUGGGAUAACUUCAGGAAACUGGGGCUAAUACCGGAUAGGAGCUCCUGCUGCAUGGUGGGGGUUGGAAAGUUUCGGCGGUUGGGGAUGGACUCGCGGCUUAUCAGCUUGUUGGUGGGGUAGUGGCUUACCAAGGCUUUGACGGGUAGCCGGCCUGAGAGGGUGACCGGCGACCAUGGGACUGAGAUACGGCCCAGACUCGUACGGGAGGCAGCAGUGGGGAAUAUUGCACAAUGGGCGGAAGCCUGAUGCAGAAGCGCCGCGUGCGGGAUGACGGCCUUCGGGUUGUAAACCGCUUUCGCCUGUGACGAAGCGUGAGUGACGGUAAUGGGUAAAGAAGCACCGGCUAACUACGUG